Molecule: ribosomal RNA, 392 nt
Filed under: uncultured bacterium
Lineage: Bacteria
Description: partial 16S ribosomal RNA
Rfam family: Bacterial small subunit ribosomal RNA
Source: RNAcentral
AUACGGAGGAUCCGAGCGUUAUCCGGAUUUAUUGGGUUUAAAGGGUGCGCAGGCGGCCAUUUAAGUCAUCGGUUAAAUCGUGGGGCUCAACCCCAUUCUGCCGUUGAUACUGGGUGGCUUGAUUGCGGUCGAGGUUGGCGGAAUUCGUUGUGUAGCGGUGAAAUGCAUAGAUAUGACGAAGAACACCGAUUGCGUAGGCAGCCGACCAGACCGCAAAUGACGCUCAUGCACGAAAGUGCGGGGAUCGAACAGGAUUAGAUACCCUGGUAGUCCGCACAGUAAACGAUGAAUACUUGUUUUCGGCGAUAUAAUGUCGGAGGCAAAGCGAAAGCGAUAAGUAUUCCACCUGGGGAGUACGCCGGCAACGGUGAAACUCAAAUGAAUUGACGGGG